UAAUGUUGGGAGGAUACCGGUGGCGAAGGCGGCCUCCUGGCUCGAUACUGACGCUGAGGUGCGAAAGCGGGGGUAGCAAACAGGAUUAGAUACCCUGGUAGUCCACGCCGUAAACGAUGUCUACUAGCCGUUGGGAGACUUGAUUUCUUAGUGGCGCAGCUAACGCACUAAGUAGACCGCCUGGGGAGUACGGCCGCAAGGUUAAAACUCAAAUGAAUUGACGGGGGCCCGCACAAGCGGUGGAGCAUGUGGUUUAAUUCGAUGCAACGCGAAGAACCUUACCAGGUCUUGACAUCCUGAAAACUUUCUAGAGAUAGAUUGGUGCCUUCGGGAAUUCAGUGACAGGUGCUGCAUGGCUGUCGUCAGCUCGUGUCGUGAGAUGUUGGGUUAAGUCCCGUAACGAGCGCAACCCUUGUCCUUAGUUGCCAGCACAUAAUGGUGGGAACUCUAAGGAGACUGCCGGUGACAAACCGGAGGAAGGUGGGGACGACGUCAAGUCAUCAUGGCCCUUACGGCCUGGGCUACACACGUGCUACAAUGGAACGCACAGAGGGUCGCAACCCCGCGAGGGUGAGCCAAUCCCACAAAACGUUUCGUAGUCCGGAUCGGAGUCUGCAACUCGACUCCGUGAAGUCGGAAUCGCUAGUAAUCGUGGAUCAGAAUGCCACGGUGAAUACGUUCCCGGGCCUUGUACACACCGCCCGUCACACCAUGGGAGUGGGUUGCUCCAGAAAUGGCUAGCUUAACCUUCGGGAGAGCGGUCACCACGGAGUGAUUCAUGACUGGGGUGAAGUCGUAACAAGGUAGCCCUAGGGGAACCUGGGGCUGGAUCACCUCCUUUC
Molecule: ribosomal RNA, 842 nt
Filed under: uncultured bacterium
Lineage: Bacteria
Description: bacterial SSU rRNA
Rfam family: Bacterial small subunit ribosomal RNA
Source: RNAcentral